RNAcentral lists this ribosomal RNA (770 nucleotides) under Phaeocollybia gregaria. RNAcentral's name for it is "eukaryotic LSU rRNA". The stretch from base 258 to 411 matches the Rfam family "5.8S ribosomal RNA". The record is from RNAcentral. Lineage: Eukaryota; Fungi; Basidiomycota; Agaricomycetes; Agaricales; Phaeocollybiaceae.
ACCUGCGGAAGGAUCAUUAUUGAAAUAAACUUGGUGUGGGUUGCAGCUGGCCUUUCUUGGGCAUGUGCUCGCCUUCAUCAUCUUUAUAUUUCCACCUGUGCACCUUCUGUAGACAAGAAAGAAAAAGGAAUUUUUGUGGUGCCAUUUGGCCCGUUUAUUCCUUGUGUAUUCCUUGUCUAUGUUUUUAUAUACUCCAAAAAUGUAACAGAAUGUUAAUCUAUGGGACUUUUGUGCCUAUAAACAAAAAAAAUAUAUACAACUUUCAGCAACGGAUCUCUUGGCUCUCGCAUCGAUGAAGAACGCAGCGAAAUGCGAUAAGUAAUGUGAAUUGCAGAAUUCAGUGAAUCAUCGAAUCUUUGAACGCACCUUGCGCUCCUUGGUAUUCCGAGGAGCAUGCCUGUUUGAGUGUCAUUAAAUUCUCAAAAGCUUUGAUAGUAUUAUCAAAUGGUUUUUGGAUGUGAGGGUUUGUUGGCGAAAGUCAACUCCCUUGAAAUGCAUUAGCUUGGUUGACUAGACUUUGUCUAUUGGUGUGAUAAUUAUCUAUGCCAUUGGAUUGUCUGCUUGUUGAACUGCUUCUAAUUGUCCCUUUGGGGACUAUAUUAAAUGACCAUUUGACCUCAAAUCAGGUAGGACUACCCGCUGAACUUAAGCAUAUCAAUAAGCGGAGGAAAAGAAACUAACAAGGAUUCCCCUAGUAACUGCGAGUGAAGAGGGAAAAGCUCAAAUUUAAAAUCUGGCUUCCUUAGGUUGUCCGAGUUGUAAUCUAGAGA